UCACAGGUCCUAUUAGGACCACCUUCAUACACUGUAAAAAUAAG
Non-coding RNA from Podiceps cristatus (great crested grebe), 44 nucleotides. NCBI's taxonomy places the organism in Eukaryota, Metazoa, Chordata, Aves, Podicipediformes, Podicipedidae. The record is from Rfam.